CCUACGGGAGGCAGCAGUGAGGAAUAUUGGUCAAUGGCCGCAGGGCUGAACCAGCCAAGUCGCGUGAGGGAUGACGGUCCUAUGGAUUGUAAACCUCUUUUGUCAGGGAGCAAAAGGCGCCACGUGUGGCGCUUUGCGAGUCCCUGCAGAAAAAGCAUCGGCUAACUCCGUGCCAGCAGCCGCGGUAAUACGGGGGAUGCGAGCGUUGUCCGGAUUUAUUGGGUUUAAAGGGUGCGCAGGCGGAAUGUCAAGUCAGCGGUAAAAUUUCGGGGCACAACCCCGUCGUGCCGUUGAAACUGGCGUGCUGGAGUGAGCGAGAAGUAUGAGGAAUGCGUGGUGUAGCGGUGAAAUGCAUAGAUAUCACGCAGAACUCCGAUUGCGAAGGCAGCAUACCGGCGCGCAACUGACGCUGAUGCACGAAAGCGUGGGUAUCGAACAGGAUUAGAUACCCCUGUAGUC
RNAcentral lists this ribosomal RNA (459 nucleotides) under uncultured bacterium. RNAcentral's name for it is "partial 16S ribosomal RNA". It matches the Rfam family "Bacterial small subunit ribosomal RNA", at positions 338 to 795 of the family's 1533-position model. The record is from RNAcentral.